UAAGAAGUCAAGUAGGUAUGCUAUUUUCGAGAAGCAUGGCACAGGUCUUGCUGUGUGUUCCAUUUUCUCUCCAAAUGUCAGAGGGGAAUGGAAAAUUGGAGUGCCGUAAAACACUUGGAGACUUCAUUUAUUACACAUUAAUUAUAAAAUCAAAGGGAAAUAAGGAGGAGUUCUUCUGUUUUCAAACCCUGGGAAACUAGUGUGGAGCAGAGCAAACUGAGCAGAUACUAAGGGGUUGACUUUCUCUGCAUGGAAAAGAAUAAACUUCACACAAGCAGGACUGAAGUGUAUGACAUUGAGUGUUGUGAAGAACACAUAAGGAUAAUGUAAAAGUAAGUUUUUUUUUUUUUUUUUUUUUUUUUUUCACUAAACCCUGCACCUUUAGAAUGAGGGCUUUUAUGAAGCUCUUUAGUUGAUGUGCAGCCAGUUUGGGAGCUGAGAAA
Molecule: long non-coding RNA, 443 nt
Filed under: Chinchilla lanigera (long-tailed chinchilla)
Lineage: Eukaryota; Metazoa; Chordata; Mammalia; Rodentia; Chinchillidae
Description: lncRNA (ENSCLAG00000028955.1)
Source: RNAcentral